RNAcentral lists this ribosomal RNA (484 nucleotides) under uncultured bacterium. RNAcentral describes it as "partial 16S ribosomal RNA". It matches the Rfam family "Bacterial small subunit ribosomal RNA", at positions 30 to 507 of the family's 1533-position model. The record is from RNAcentral.
AUUGAACGCUGGCGGCAGGCCUAACACAUGCAAGUCGAGCGGAUGAAGGGGGCUUGCUCCUGGAUUCAGCGGCGGACGGGUGAGUAAUGCCUAGGAAUCUGCCUGGUAGUGGGGGAUAACGUCCGGAAACGGGCGCUAAUACCGCAUACGUCCUGAGGGAGAAAGUGGGGGAUCUUCGGACCUCACGCUAUCAGAUGAGCCUAGGUCGGAUUAGCUAGCUGGUGGGGUAAAGGCCUACCAAGGCGACGAUCCGUAACUGGUCUGAGAGGAUGAUCAGUCACACUGGAACUGAGACACGGUCCAGACUCCUACGGGAGGCAGCAGUGGGGAAUAUUGGACAAUGGGCGAAAGCCUGAUCCAGCCAUGCCGCGUGUGUGAAGAAGGUCUUCGGAUUGUAAAGCACUUUAAGUUGGGAGGAAGGGCAGUAAGUUAAUACCUUGCUGUUUUGACGUUACCAACAGAAUAAGCACCGGCUAACUUCGUG